AGGACGAACGCUGGCGGCGUGCCUAACACAUGCAAGUCGAGCGGAGAUAUAUUGAAGGUUUACCGGAUACAUAUCUUAGCGGCGGACGGGUGAGUAACGCGUGGGCAACCUGCCUUAUACAGGGGGAUAACACAGGGAAACUUGUGCUAAUACCGCAUAAUAUCAUUGUAUGGCAUCAUACGAUGAUCAAAGGAGCAAUCCGGUAUGAGAUGGGCCCGCGUCCGAUUAGCUAGUUGGUGGGGUAACAGCUCACCAAGGCGACGAUCGGUAGCCGAACUGAGAGGUUGAUCGGCCACAUUGGGACUGAGACACGGCCCAGACUCCUACGGGAGGCAGCAGUGGGGAAUAUUGCGCAAAAUGGGGGAAACCCUGACGCAGCAACGCCGCGUGAAGGAUGGAGGCCUUCGGGUUGUAAACUUCUUUGAUUGGGGAAGAAGAAAGUGACUGUACCCAAAAAACAAGCCACGGCUAACUACGUGCCAGCCGCCGC
This 490-nucleotide ribosomal RNA is filed under the name uncultured bacterium. RNAcentral's name for it is "bacterial SSU rRNA". It matches the Rfam family "Bacterial small subunit ribosomal RNA", at positions 26 to 518 of the family's 1533-position model. The record is from RNAcentral.